UACGUAGGGGGCGAGCGUUGUCCAGAUUUAUUGGGCGUAAAGAGCGUGUAGGCGGCCAGGUAGGUCUGCUGUGAAAACUCGAGGCUCAACCUCGAGACGUCGGCGGAAACCAUCUGGCUAGAGUCCGGAAGAGGAGAGUGGAAUUCCUGGUGUAGCGGUGAAAUGCGCAGAUAUCAGGAAGAACACCCGUGGCGAAGGCGGCUCUCUGGGACGGUACUGACGCUGAGACGCGAAAGCGUGGGGAGCGAACAGG
Molecule: ribosomal RNA, 253 nt
Filed under: uncultured bacterium
Lineage: Bacteria
Description: partial 16S ribosomal RNA
Rfam family: Bacterial small subunit ribosomal RNA
Source: RNAcentral